Non-coding RNA from Danio rerio (zebrafish), 605 nucleotides. Lineage: Eukaryota; Metazoa; Chordata; Actinopteri; Cypriniformes; Danionidae. The record is from Ensembl.
AUCCGGGUCCAGUGUCCCCCCUCACAUCGUGGUGGACAUCAGCAAGGAGCCGCUGCCCAAGGAGCCCCGGAGGAAGAAGCCCAGGCACUGAGCCAUCCAAGUGCCAGAUGGAGGAUCAUGGGCGCGAAGAAGCUCCUCAGACAGGAAGUGAAGAGCAGUACUUUGGGAAGCCCUGCUGCUGCUGCUGAGCUUCUAGAGCACUUGCAGUCCAGAUACUGGAUCUCUGCUCACCUGCACUCGACUCAACACUGAUGCAGCACCAGAUUGCAGAUUGUGGAGGAAGCUCCUACGUGAAGCUUGAGCUUGAUCCAGAAUGGCUGGCCAUCCUGAAACGACCUUCGAAAGCCAUCCCGCAGUUUCUGGAACCCUCCGCUGGACAACAGACUACACAGCAGAGACAAAAUACAUUACAAUGAUCACAGCUGUUCAUUUUCUGAUAGCUUGCUGAUACCAUAUUCAAUUCCAUUUCUAAGUAUUUUAGCAUCCUGUUCCUCUGCUUCUUUCAGGUGGCAUUUCAGUCCAUCUACAUCCUGCUGGGCAAAGCGGACAGACUUACAGGGAGGAGUUUAUUCAGCCUUCUUCGAUGACUAGAAUAUUUAGAAGAA